AGCACGCGAAUCCUGUAGUGCACACUGGAGCUGCUGAUAGUUUAGGUGCUUUCUGUUCACAUUCGAGACGCUCCUGAGUCUCAACACCCGGAGUUCCCCUAGAGCCAGAUACUAGGAACAGCUUUAUCAACCCGGCGUCUGGAACAAUCUCUACGACUACCGACUGCAGGGGCGGGGGAGGAAACAUUCGUGUCAUCUGAACCCUUUAAAACACACACACACACACACACACACACACACACACACACAACUUGCUGCCUGGGACCUCUACCGAGUGCAGCGGGGAACCCAAAAAUAGCAUGACAGUGACAGGGAGCGAUGGGAGCUUAAAAGAAGCAACGGCUACCAGAGGCCAAACAGCCAAUGGAACACAUGAAGGAAUGUUAUCCAAUAGAAGAUUCUGGCCUCGGAAUAUACUUCGAGUAUAACAUUCCAGUGGAGAAGAGGAGACCCACACACCUUCGGACAAGAAGGGUUGGUGGAGGUUGAAGCCAUACAUUGGCAAACUUGAAAAUGGCUAAAGCCACCACUUCUGCUGCAAAUUAUUGAGCACAGUAAGUCACAAGGCCCAACUGGUAUCAAAGUUUGGGGGAAGAGACUCUCCUUCUUGAGAAGAGUUGCAAAAUCACAUUGCCAAAGGAGUAGUUUCAGAACACACCAGACACCAAAUGUGUGGAGGUUGUUUUUCUCCUACCAACCAGUUCUGCUGCUUUCUGGGCACCCACUGGGUGUACUACAAUUAAAUUCAAUUCUGAUGCUAACUACUCAGCGUUGGCACAGACCCCACAGUUCUACAAGACUGCCUCCACUUCAGAUGUCAGUCCAAAGUGUGGACAAUCUAUACUUGGGACUUACCAGCUACGAAGUUGGGGGGUUUCCAUGACCCCCUCCUUAUAUUUUGCUAGAAUGGCUCACAGAACUCUGAGAAUCAUUUUGCUUAAUAUUACUGAUUUAAUUAUAAGGGAUACAACUCAGGAACAGCUGGACAGAAGAGAUGCAUAAGGAAGGUAUGUGCAAAGGGCCAAGAAACUUCAAUGCCCUUUCUAGGCAUGCUGCCCUCCCAGAACUUCCAUGUGUUCACUAGCUCAGAAGCUUUUGAACCCUGUUAGGGGUGGAGCUGAAAGUUCUACCCCUCUAAUCACUUAGUUGGUUCCUCUGGCAACAAGCCUUCAUCCUGAAGCUAAACAGGGCCCACUGAGAGUAACCUUAUUGGCAUAAAAUCAGAUAUAGUUGAAAGAGGCUUAAAAUGAAUAAUAAAAGCUGUUCCUCUUAACCAUAUCACUCAGGAAAUUCCAAGAAUUUUAGGAGCUUUGGGCCAGGAACCAGGGCCAAAGAUCAAAUAUAUUUGUCUAAUUAUAUCAUAAUAUCACAAAUACAUUUAGACCUACAAAUUUCCAUUUGAGUAAGGCUUUGGGUAUCCUACCAGUUACCACACAUUGUGGUGGUCUUCUUUUUUAUUAUUCUGUAAAUAGUCUAAAGUUGUAGUUUUUCUUUCUGUUUUGAUCUACUAGCCAUUUAAAGUUAUGUUCUAAAAUUUUCAGAUCAUCAGGAUUUUCUCUUUAUCUUUGUUAUGAGUGACUACAUUAUAUUUUGAUUAAAGACAUGUUUCAUAUAAUUGUGUUGCAUCGAGAUCAAUUAUUAUAUGGGCAAUUUUUGAAAAUGUUUCAUGGAUGCCUGAA
This is a long non-coding RNA of Nyctereutes procyonoides (raccoon dog), 1679 nucleotides long. RefSeq lists it as uncharacterized. The record is from RefSeq and is a predicted model, not a curated record. Lineage: Eukaryota; Metazoa; Chordata; Mammalia; Carnivora; Canidae. The transcript has 5 exons.